AUGCAAGUCGAACGGUGAAGCGGGUGCUUGCACUCGUGGAUCAGUGGCGAACGGGUGAGUAACACGUGAGUAACCUGCCCUCCACUCUGGGAUAAGCGCUGGAAACGGCGUCUAAUACUGGAUACGACCGACCCUCGCAUGGGGUGUUGGUGGAAAGAUUUAUCGGUGGUGGAUGGACUCGCGGCCUAUCAGCUUGUUGGUGGGGUAAUGGCCUACCAAGGCGACGACGGGUAGCCGGCCUGAGAGGGCGACCGGCCACACUGGGACUGAGACACGGCCCAGACUCCUACGGGAGGCAGCAGUGGGGAAUAUUGCACAAUGGGCGAAAGCCUGAUGCAGCGACGCCGCGUGAGGGAUGACGGCCUUCGGGUUGUAAACCUCUUUCAGCAGGGAAGAAGCUUUUGUGACGGUACCUGCAGAAGAAGCACCGGCUAACUACGUGCCAGCAGCCGCGGUAAUACGUAGGGUGCGAGCGUUGUCCGGAAUUAUUGGGCGUAAAGAGCUUGUAGGCGGUUUGUCGCGUCUGCUGUGAAAAUUCAGGGCUUAACCCUGGACGUGCAGUGGGUACGGGCAGACUAGAGUAUGGUAGGGGAGACUGGAAUUCCUGGUGUAGCGGUGGAAUGCGCAGAUAUCAGGAGGAACACCGAUGGCGAAGGCAGGUCUCUGGGCCAUUACUGACGCUGAGAAGCGAAAGCAUGGGGAGCGAACAGGAUUAGAUACCCUGGUAGUCCAUGCCGUAAACGUUGGGCGCUAGGCGUGGGUCUCAUUCCACGAGAUCCGUGUCGCAGCUAACGCAUUAAGCGCCCCGCCUGGGGAGUACGGCCGCAAGGCUGCAAGGCUAAAACUCAAAGGAAUUGACGGGGGCCCGCACAAGCGGCGGAGCAUGCUGAUUAAUUCGAUGCAACGCGAAGAACCUUACCAAGGCUUGACAUGCACCGGAUCGCCUCAGAGAUGGGGUUUCCCUUUGGGCUGGUGCACAGGUGGUGCAUGGUUGUCGUCAGCUCGUGUCGUGAGAUGUUGGGUUAAGUCCCGCAACGAGCGCAACCCUCGUUCUAUGUUGCCAGCACGUAAUGGUGGGGACUCAUAGGAGACUGCCGGGGUCAACUCGGAGGAAGGUGGGGAUGACGUCAAAUCAUCAUGCCCCUUAUGUCUUGGGCUUCAAGCAUGCUACAAUGGCCGGUACAGAGGGUUGCGAAACCGUGAGGUGGAGCGAAUCCCAAAAAACCGGUCUCAGUUCGGAUUGGGGUCUGCAACUCGACCCCAUGAAGUCGGAGUCGCUAGUAAUCGCAGAUCAGCAACGCUGCGGUGAAUACGUUCCCGGGCCUUGUACACACCGCCCGUCAAGUCACGAAAGUCGGUAACACCCGAAGACGGUGGCCUAACCCUUGUGGAAGGAGCCGUCUAAGGUGGGACCGGUGAUUGG
This 1423-nucleotide ribosomal RNA is filed under the name Kytococcus sp. 9X-22. RNAcentral describes it as "bacterial SSU rRNA". It matches the Rfam family "Bacterial small subunit ribosomal RNA". The record is from RNAcentral. Lineage: Bacteria; Bacillati; Actinomycetota; Actinomycetes; Micrococcales; Kytococcaceae.